GGUGGAUGCCUUGGCAGUUGGAGGCGAUGAAGGACGUAUUAACUUGCGAUAAGCCUAGUCAAGCUAGUAAAAAGCGCUUGAGACUAGGAUUUCCGAAUGGGGAAACCCACCACUUAGUGGUAUCACUUACUGAAUACAUAGGUAAGUGAGGCGAACCGGGAGAACUGAAACAUCUAAGUACCCCGAGGAAAAAAAAAAAAA
RNAcentral lists this ribosomal RNA (201 nucleotides) under Alexandrium tamarense. RNAcentral's name for it is "partial Bacterial large subunit ribosomal RNA". It matches the Rfam family "Bacterial large subunit ribosomal RNA", at positions 23 to 229 of the family's 2925-position model. The record is from RNAcentral. Lineage: Eukaryota; Dinophyceae; Gonyaulacales; Pyrocystaceae.